GACUACGUGCCUGAGUCUGGACGAAAGGGACGCUCUGCAAAAGCGUUUGGGUAACCUCAUCGUGAGUUCGAAUCUCACCGUAGUUU
RNAcentral lists this transfer RNA (86 nucleotides) under Candidatus Riesia sp. RNAcentral's name for it is "tRNA-Cys". It matches the Rfam family "tRNA". From Rfam's summary of the family: Transfer RNA (tRNA) molecules are approximately 80 nucleotides in length. Lineage: Bacteria; Pseudomonadati; Pseudomonadota; Gammaproteobacteria; Enterobacterales; Enterobacteriaceae. The record is from RNAcentral.